This 1166-nucleotide long non-coding RNA is filed under the name Zalophus californianus (California sea lion). RNAcentral's name for it is "lncRNA (ENSZCAG00015013031.1)". Lineage: Eukaryota; Metazoa; Chordata; Mammalia; Carnivora; Otariidae. The record is from RNAcentral.
ACUAGUUUAUCCUCUUAAAAAUCAAGUUAGGGCUUCGCCUCGGGUGGAGGUGGUAGCAGUGGCCAGAUGAGGAAUGUAAUGGAGGCUUCUGGGCGCUGGCAUCUCCUGUGACUUGGGUGCUAGUCACAUGGUGCUUUCACUCUGUGGAAAGUGUACAUUUAUGUAGGUAAAAAGUAAAACAUUUACUUAAAUCCAAUGCUUCAUUCAUCUCAAAGCCUCUUUCUGUCUUGGGCUUAGGUCUGAUCAAUGGAGCAGGUAGGAAGGAGCCCCUUUCACGUUCUUCCUGGCUGCCCCCCUCCUCCUCCUCCACGGGACCCUCCAGCAUCAGAGCAGAAGGGAAGGCAGCCGAACAAUCGACGCUGUCAGCUUUUGGAUCACAGUCCAGAUUCCUAAACAGCAACAUGUAUGAGCUCAGGCUUCCCACGCAUGUCCUUGGAAGCAUCCGUGGCCUCGAAGGUAAUCUCCUGGAGGGUGGCAGCCAUAUUGUUCUUCUCAGUUCUUAACAAAUAGCCUGACACCAAAUGGAUGUGGGAUAACGACAUUUUGAAUGGUGACCAACUAUGAAGAGUUCAAGAAUCCCUGGUGCUCUCUAAGUUUUGUACUUGCCUUAAAUUUUUUCUGCAUUGUGAUUUCCAGCCAAAUAAAAAAACAAGUGGGGUAAAAAAGCCAACAAGGAAAAUACAUAUAAGUAACAAUUUUCGGUAUGUUAGGAUGAUGAAUCUUGGGCAGUUUUUUCUGUUUCCCAAAUUUAUUUGAAAUAGCAAUAAAAAGAAAAAAAAUACAUAUAUAUUAAUUUACUGAAAAAGAGAUAGCUUGCCAUCCUUUCUGUUAAAAAGAAAAAAAAUACUUUUAAUUGUCUCUGAAAAUUACAAGAAGACAUUACUCUGGUUUUUUCAAGAAGGAAACGAAGGACUGGAGAACAUGACUAAGCAAAAUUUGUUUGCUUUCAUUUUGUUUGCUUGCUUUCUAUUAUCUGCUUUUGUAGGUUUGAAUUUCAAACCGUAUGAAUGUGUUACAUGUUCAAAUAAUAAAUUAUAUUUACAAUGGAGUUUUUGUUUCAAAAUAUGUAAUAUUCAGUACUGAAGAAUUCUGAAUUUUAGAGCUGACAAGUCCUUAGAGGAGAGUUAGUAGCAAUUAUCUCAUUUAAAAUAAUUUUUGGGCGCCUG